AACAGUCGCAGUUUGUUAGCGGAGCUGCAUCUUAUUAUUCAGUCAGGAAAAUUUGUUCCUAAUGAGCUUCAAUAAAAAAGUUCCAACUCAUCCGAUUUGUCAAUUUAUCCGUUUAUUUUUAGGCCGCAGGUCGCAAAAUAAAAACACUAAAGUCUGAACGGGUUCAUGACACCAGCAAGGAAAAACUGUGGAAAACUAAGUACAGCCCAUGAUUCAACCAGGUGAGCUGCUUUUUCUUUCAGGGUCAGCAUGUCAAUAAGGUUUAGGUCUGGACUUUGACUAGACCAUGUCAGCACUGAAUCUUUUUUCCCCAGAGAGAUUUGCUGUUUCCUGUUAACGGUUUGGGUCAAACAUCGGCUUGAAACGUGACACGCGCAGAUGAUCAAACUGAUAUUUAGACCUGAACGCCUCUCUGGCGCGGAGGGAUACCUGCGUAGUAGAACCCGCACUGGCUGCUCUGGCGCAGGAAACACGGCGGCCAUCUUGGAGCGGUCGUCUCUCCAACUAGGCUAAACCAAAACAGCAGCAGAAGAAUUAUAUUUUCUGCCGGAUAUUUUUGUUCAUAUCGACGAUCUAUUGUCGUGAGAUCUCGGGGGAUAACGUUUCACAAUUUUAAGGUUUCAUAAAGACGAUAGACGGAUCCACUGCUGAUGAAUCUCUGAAGCUGCAACUGCUCGGCUGGAAAACAUGAAUAAAGCCUACAUAGAUAUUAUGUAUAUACGCAUGUGCAUGUAAAUAUGUGUAGUUUAAUGCAUUUUAUUCAGUAUUAAUUAUUAUUUAAUCAUCUUCGUUUCUCUAUGAUUGUAUUAUUUUGUUUGUUUUAUAUAAAUAUGUAUUGAUAUUACUAAAUCAUAUAUUUAAAAAUUACGACCAUCAUCUAUUCUCUUCCAAAUCUAUUCUGUUUUCCCCAUUAAGAAUGGUGAAAUAUGCUGAACCAUGUAUCAGUCAAUUCAAAAAUACUUAAAAAAUAACUUUCUUGUAAAUGUAGUUAUGAUAUCUGUUUGAAUAAGGUUCACAGAAAAAAAAAUUGUGAAAAUCUGUUUAGUAUUUAGCGAGUUAUGAUCGGUCAAAUGCGCUGAUACUUCAGUUCGCCUGUCAAACAUAUAACGCUGAGUGGAGCGGUUGACCUCUCCAAGAUGGCCGUCCUAAAUCUCGUCAGCGACAAUAGGCAGGAUCGGCCAAGAGGCGGUUUAUGGAGUAACGUUGGAAUUGGACUUUCCGGGAGAGCUUCGCAUCAAUAUUAUUGGAUACAGAAGCUCAGAGAGGACAAACUUCAAGGACUGUUGAAAAACAGAAACUCAAAGUGAAAGCAGCGUCGGUUCAAAGCGCAGACAGAGCAGUGACAGCAGGCUGAGCGACAGCACUGCGGCCGCAGACAGCGCCGCCGCCAGCGGCCCCGAGUCGCCCAUCGGACCUGCAGCAGCAGCAGAUAAACGGGUCGAUGUGGGCCGGUCAGCGGGUUCCUGUCAGCCAGGCAGAGCUGCACAGGAUGUGGUCGGCUCAGAGAAAAGUGAGCAGCUCGGCCUGCAGGACUCACACCGUCAGUCAGGAAGCAGCGCAGCGCUCACUGCGAUGACACACACACACACACACACACACACACACACACACACACACCUCAGAUCACAGUAAACUUCAUUUCUGAACUGUAACUUUUUAAUCAAUAUUCAGGAGUUAUUGGCUUAAAACAAACUGUUAUUUCUUUCUGACAAAUUACUUUGUUUUGAGAUAUUUGCAGUAAAAACUGGACAAAAAUACUUGGAAGGAUUUUGUGUUUUCAGGAAUAUUAAAACCUGCCUGAAGCUUUUGCCAAAAUUAGGAUCAUUAUUUUUUUAAUAUCUGUUAAGCGGUAACAAUUCAUUGGCAAAAAUUUGGACCAAAUUGAACUUUUAAACCAAAUAAUUAAGAAUCAGUUUAACAAAAGAAACCUUAAGUCCUGAGCCUGAAACCUGACAUCACAAACAAACUGUCUCCAUUUUAUGUGAGCAACAGAAAAUGUCAUAACAACAAAAUUCUGAUAUUUAAACAAUCUGAAAACCUUUCAUACUAAAGCUGAAGACAGAUUUUGUAAAUGAAACAUCGUUAUUAUUUUCUCACUGUUUGACAGAAAAUCAGAGCAAAAUUUCCCCGUUUAAAUUUCUAAAUGACAAGAUAUUGAGAGUAAACAAUAUCUAAAUAUUGAGUUUUGGUGUGAAAUGUGUUCAUCGUCAACAGAACUGAAAACUUGGUAAAGAUGGUGGCCGAGUCUCAAACCAUCAUGGCUGAAAAGUCGCUCCAACAGGAAGAAGCCAAAUAAACGGAAAAAACCUCGACAAUAAAUUCAUUUAUUCUGAUUAAACUGGAGGAUGGAAACGUUUGGCCAUGAUGGAGCUCCGUACAUUUGACAGAAUCAGGGGAAGAACUGAUGCUUCAUAAAAUGGAGAUCAUUUUAUGUGGAAAUAUUGAAAUAACAAGAAGUUAAAGCCUUUACAUGAAUUGAUCUUUCAAAUAAACAAUAACUAAUCAAACCAUCAAAUUAAUCAAACUUUAUCUUAAAGAUGAGAAAAAUCAAAAAGUUCUGAUUUCUGUGGAAACGUUGAAUCAAACCUCAGCUGCAGCAGCAAACUGGAGGAAAGAUAAUUUUACUGAAUUUUAAGCUACUAAACUUUGGACACUUGAAGAAGAUGAUGAUGAAGAUGCUGAUCCAUGAGUUUGUCGACGGGGCGAAAAAACCUUUCUCCUAUUUAACGAACAGAAAACUAAUCAGAAAACUAUGGCGAUGGAUUAUAGACAGAAGCUUCGUAACGAAAAUCACACAGCAGGAUGAAAAUGAUCUUAUGACGAUUUCAACCAUCUUGAAACAACUGAUUUUCUGAAAAAAGUCAAAGUUUCAAAUCAAUCAAUCAAUCAAUGGGAUUUAUUUGUACAGCAGGUUUCAGCAGCUGUCUAUUGACGAUCUUAUUUUAUGAAUCAUAUUGAAUCUGUGUCGACCUUUUUGCUGGUUUGGCAAAAUUAGGUCAGAAAAGCACCAAGAGUGAUAAAUAAAUAUAAAUAAUAAUU
Long non-coding RNA from Xiphophorus couchianus (Monterrey platyfish), 3039 nucleotides. RefSeq lists it as uncharacterized. NCBI's taxonomy places the organism in Eukaryota, Metazoa, Chordata, Actinopteri, Cyprinodontiformes, Poeciliidae. The record is from RefSeq and is a predicted model, not a curated record. The transcript has 4 exons.